Molecule: ribosomal RNA, 235 nt
Filed under: uncultured bacterium
Lineage: Bacteria
Description: partial 16S ribosomal RNA
Rfam family: Bacterial small subunit ribosomal RNA
Source: RNAcentral
ACUCCUACGGGAGGCAGCAGUGGGGAAUAUUGGACAAUGGGGGCAACCCUGAUCCAGCCAUGCCGCGUGAGUGAUGAAGGCCUUAGGGUUGUAAAGCUCUUUCAGCGAGGAGGAUAAUGACGUUACUCGCAGAAGAAGCCCCGGCUAACUUCGUGCCAGCAGCCGCGGUAAUACGAAGGGGCUAGCGUUGUUCGGAAUCACUGGGCGUAAAGCGCACGUAGGCGGAUUGAUAAUU